This 397-nucleotide ribosomal RNA is filed under the name uncultured bacterium. Its description in RNAcentral is "partial 16S ribosomal RNA". It matches the Rfam family "Bacterial small subunit ribosomal RNA", at positions 523 to 918 of the family's 1533-position model. The record is from RNAcentral.
CUACGUAGGGGGCGAGCGUUGUCCGGAAUGAUUGGGCGUAAAGGGCGCGUAGGCGGCCUGUUAAGUCUGGAGUGAAAGUCCUGUUUUCAAGAUGGGAAUUGCUUUGGAUACUGAUGGGCUUGAGUGCAGGAGAGGUUAUCGGAAUUCCCGGUGUAGCGGUGAAAUGCGUAGAGAUCGGGAGGAACACCAGUGGCGAAGGCGGGUAACUGGACUGCAACUGACGCUGAGGCGCGAAAGUGUGGGGAGCAAACAGGAUUAGAUACCCUGGUAGUCCACACUGUAAACGAUGAAUGCUAGGUGUAAGAGGUAUCGACCCCUUUUGUGCCGGAGUCAACACAAUAAGCAUUCCGCCUGGGGAGUACGGCCGCAAGGUUGAAACUCAAAUGAAUUGGCGGGG